This 301-nucleotide ribosomal RNA is filed under the name uncultured bacterium. RNAcentral describes it as "partial 16S ribosomal RNA". It matches the Rfam family "Bacterial small subunit ribosomal RNA", at positions 509 to 807 of the family's 1533-position model. The record is from RNAcentral.
CAGUCGCCACGGUAAUACAGAGGGUGCGAGCGUUAAUCGGAUUUACUGGGCGUAAAGCGUGCGUAGGCGGCUUUUUAAGUCGGAUGUGAAAUCCCUGAGCUUAACUUAGGAAUUGCAUUCGAUACUGGGAAGCUAGAGUAUGGGAGAGGAUGGUAGAAUUCCAGGUGUAGCGGUGAAAUGCGUAGAGAUCUGGAGGAAUACCAAUGGCGAAGGCAGCCAUCUGGCCUAAUACUGACGCUGAGGUACGAAAGCAUGGGGAGCAAACAGGAUUAGAUACCCCUGUAGUCCCUGUCUCUUAUAC